Molecule: ribosomal RNA, 484 nt
Filed under: uncultured bacterium
Lineage: Bacteria
Description: partial 16S ribosomal RNA
Rfam family: Bacterial small subunit ribosomal RNA
Source: RNAcentral
AUUGAACGCUGGCGGCAGGCCUAACACAUGCAAGUCGAGCGGAUGAAGGGAGCUUGCUCCUGGAUUCAGCGGCGGACGGGUGAGUAAUGCCUAGGAAUCUGCCUGGUAGUGGGGGAUAACGUCCGGAAACGGGCGCUAAUACCGCAUACGUCCUGAGGGAGAAAGUGGGGGAUCUUCGGACCUCACGCUAUCAGAUGAGCCUAGGUCGGAUUAGCUAGUUGGUGGGGUAAAGGCUUACCAAGGCGACGAUCCGUAACUGGUCUGAGAGGAUGAUCAGCCACACUGGAACUGAGACACGGUCCAGACUCCUACGGGAGGCAGCAGUGGGGAAUAUUGGACAAUGGGCGAAAGCCUGAUCCAGCCAUGCCGCGUGUGUGAAGAAGGUCUUCGGAUUGUAAAGCACUUUAAGUUGGGAGGAAGGGCAGUAAGUUAAUACCUUGCUGUUUUGACGUUACCAACAGAAUAAGCACCGGCUAACUUCGUG